AAAGCUUGAUUUCUCGCUAACCUCUCAUCCAUCAAUUGUGGGCUUAUCUUCUCCAUCGUCUUUAGUUCAUAAUAUGGCGAUUGUAGGUGCAUUGGAACGACGUUAGACUCUCCAACUGUAUUAGCUCUAGAGCACCCGUCUACUAGACUAUUCACUACACUGUUGGAUUCAAGUACAGUUAGUCCUCUAACUUCUAUUGGUUUUUGCAAGCAGAAUAAUGUUCCUUGAUCU
This 231-nucleotide long non-coding RNA is filed under the name Lathyrus oleraceus (garden pea). RNAcentral's name for it is "Pisum sativum (pea) long non-coding RNA (PSAT_LNC000965)". Lineage: Eukaryota; Viridiplantae; Streptophyta; Magnoliopsida; Fabales; Fabaceae. The record is from RNAcentral.